GUGGCUUAGUGGUAGAGUGCUUGCCUAAAAUGCAUGAGACCCUAGGUUCAAUUCCUUGGUAGCACA
RNAcentral lists this transfer RNA (66 nucleotides) under Dipodomys ordii (Ord's kangaroo rat). It matches the Rfam family "tRNA". Rfam says of the family: Transfer RNA (tRNA) molecules are approximately 80 nucleotides in length. Their secondary structure includes four short double-helical elements and three loops (D, anti-codon, and T loops). The record is from Rfam by way of RNAcentral. Lineage: Eukaryota; Metazoa; Chordata; Mammalia; Rodentia; Heteromyidae.